AGAGUUGGCUGAGCAGUCGCCGUUUUAUUGUAAUGAUAGAAGGGAGGAAAGUCCGGGCUUCAUUGGGCAGGGUGCUAGGUAAUACCUAGGAGGCGUGAGCCUACGACAAGUGCCACAGAAAAUAUACCGCCUAUCGUAAGACAGGUAAGGGUGAAAUGGUGCGGUAAGAGCGCACCGCGCA
This 181-nucleotide RNase P RNA is filed under the name Methylococcales bacterium. Its description in RNAcentral is "partial RNase P RNA component class A". It matches the Rfam family "Bacterial RNase P class A", at positions 1 to 184 of the family's 367-position model. Rfam says of the family: Ribonuclease P (RNase P) is a ubiquitous endoribonuclease, found in archaea, bacteria and eukarya as well as chloroplasts and mitochondria. Its best characterised activity is the generation of mature 5'-ends of tRNAs by cleaving the 5'-leader elements of precursor-tRNAs. Lineage: Bacteria; Pseudomonadati; Pseudomonadota; Gammaproteobacteria; Methylococcales. The record is from RNAcentral.